RNAcentral lists this transfer RNA (72 nucleotides) under Loxodonta africana (African savanna elephant). It matches the Rfam family "tRNA". From Rfam's summary of the family: Transfer RNA (tRNA) molecules are approximately 80 nucleotides in length. The record is from Rfam by way of RNAcentral. Lineage: Eukaryota; Metazoa; Chordata; Mammalia; Proboscidea; Elephantidae.
GUCCUGGUGGCACAGUGGUUAAGUGCUCGGCUGCUAACUGAAAGAUUGGUGGUUCAAACCCACCCAACGGUU